RNAcentral lists this unclassified non-coding RNA (189 nucleotides) under uncultured fungus. Its description in RNAcentral is "sequence contains ITS1, 5.8S rRNA gene". The record is from RNAcentral. Lineage: Eukaryota; Fungi.
UUAACUAUUAUAUAGUACUCAGACGACACUAUAAUUCAGAAUUUAGGGUCCUCUGGCGGGCACUCACCAGCCGAAGCCAGUAGCCGAAGCGGCCCGCCAAAGCAACAAAGGUAUAUAUUCAAGGGUGGGAGGUCUACCCCGAAGGGCAUGAACUCUGUAAUGAUCCUUCCGCAGGUUCACCUACGGAAA